AUGCCUACGGGACGCAGCAGUAGGGAAUCUUCCACAAUGGACGAAAGUCUGAUGGAGCAACGCCGCGUGAGUGAAGAAGGGUUUCGGCUCGUAAAGCUCUGUUGGUAGUGAAGAAAGAUAGAGGUAGUAACUGGCCUUUAUUUGACGGCAAUUACUUAGAAAGUCACGGCUAACUACGUGCCAGCAGCCGCGGUAAUACGUAGGUGGUAAGCGUUGUUCGGAUUUUUUGGGGGUAAAGCGAGUGCAGGCGG
This 251-nucleotide ribosomal RNA is filed under the name uncultured bacterium. Its description in RNAcentral is "partial 16S ribosomal RNA". It matches the Rfam family "Bacterial small subunit ribosomal RNA", at positions 335 to 578 of the family's 1533-position model. The record is from RNAcentral.